CGCGGGCGACGAGGGCGGCUCAGGCGAGCUGCGAAUCCAACAUGCGGCCCUACGGAGGGGGAUUCGCACCUGGACGGCACGCAGGACCGCCCCCAAGCCCCCAGCCUGCCCUCCGUCGCCCUCAGCGCGGGGUUUCGACGGACCCUGAGCUCUUCCUCCCCGUUGGUCCCGCUGCAGGCAGCACACCUUGGGAACAUGAGAUUUUUGCCCAAGUCAGUAGUGGGGACGUACACCACCAGCCCGAGCUCCCUCCAGAGCAGCAGCCGCCAGAGCUUACAGCUGUGAGAUGAUUUCUGACUUCUGAGGACAAAGGAUACUUGUCCCCUCUCUGCGUGAGCAGCAAGGCCAGCAGGUCCUGUCUCCAGCGUGAUCUGCUCUCCCUUCUGUCUUUCUGAGGGUACGCAGGACGCCCAGCAGCGUUUGUUUUCUCUGGGAUCCAAGCCUUGAGUUUGGGCCCUGCUGGCGAUCAGGUGGCCUUGGCUCCUCAGUCUCUGCCUGAUUGGGCUUUCCUGUUUUCGUCAUCCUCCGUUGACUUUGCGCAGGGGAGAAAAAUACUCACGAAGGAAGCUUCCCAGAGGGUGAGCAGGUGCACAGUUCAGCCAAGUAGGUGACUCGCUGGGCUGUGCGUCUUUGUGUUUGUUCGGGGCGGGAAGGGUGUGACAGCGGCUCCCCGCCAAAUAACUUUACCACCUGAGAGACCAGGCGGCUCCCGGAGCAUGUGGGAAGCCACUAGCCCUGCAUGGGGCUUCCGGUGCGCUGUGACCAUGGCCCACCACGUGUUCCGGGUCCCCCGUGACCUCUGAGUGGAUACACAGACACUCCUACACGCGCAUUUCUGUGUGUGGAAGUGUGUCGGUGCACGUACUGAGGUUUUUGUGAGCAGAACAAGGGAAAGAAGAAGAGGGUGUAGAUAAACGGCAACACGUUGAUGGUUUCUGAACACGGAUGACCGCUGCUUGGGGUUUCAUUAUACUCCUUUCUGCUUUGUGUGUGCUUAAAAAUUCCAAAAUAAAAAAGUUUAAAAAUA
This is a non-coding RNA of Vicugna pacos (alpaca), 1027 nucleotides long. NCBI's taxonomy places the organism in Eukaryota, Metazoa, Chordata, Mammalia, Artiodactyla, Camelidae. The record is from RefSeq and is a predicted model, not a curated record.